Long non-coding RNA from Arachis ipaensis, 427 nucleotides. RefSeq lists it as uncharacterized. The record is from RefSeq and is a predicted model, not a curated record. Lineage: Eukaryota; Viridiplantae; Streptophyta; Magnoliopsida; Fabales; Fabaceae.
CCAUGGGGGUAAGAGGGACCGGUUUAACGGGAUAUUGGUGCGGUUCAAUGAGAAAGCAAUGCUCAAAAUGUUUCAAGCCUUGUUUUUCUAUUGAGCCGUGCCAAUAUCACGUGCCACUGCUCCUAAAAACCCCUUAAAGCAAAAGAAAAAAAAAAUAAUAAUUCUGAUUAUCAAAGGGUCUUACAAGGAACCUAGAGGGUAUGACAUUAAUUGUAGCAUAUGGAAGAAGAGAAGAAUUGGUUACAAGAACAAGUUUAUUAUUGAGACACACAUUCAAGUGAUGACAAGUUUUUAUAUAUUCAUCUAUUAAUUAAUUUUCAUAUAUAGGUCACAUUGUUUUCUUUGAAAUGUGAUGUUUAACAGAACAUGGCUUGUGCACUUCUUUAAGUUUAAGCAUUGUUUUCUGUCCCUGCCUCUCUUUCUUUUC